AGUGAACGCUGGCGAUAGGCCUAACACAUGCCAGUCGAACGGCAGCACAGUAAGAGCUUGCUCUUACGGGUGGCGAGUGGCGGGCGGGUGAGGAAUACAUCGGAAUCUACUUUUUCGUGGGGGAUAACGUAGGGAAACUUACGCUAAUACCGCAUACGACCUACGGGUGAAAGCAGGGGAUCUUCGGACCUUGCGCGAUUGAAUGAGCCGAUGUCGGAUUAGCUAGUUGGCGGGGUAAAGGCCCACCAAGGCGACGAUCUGUAGCUGGUCUGAGAGGAUGAUCAGCCACACUGGAACUGAGACACGGUCCAGACUCCUACGGGAGGCAGCAGUGGGGAAUAUUGGACAAUGGGCGCAAGCCUGAUCCAGCCAUACCGCGUGGGUGAAGAAGGCCUUCGGGUUGUAAAGCCCUUUUGUUGGGAAAGAAAAGCAGCAGGUUAAUACCCCGCUGUUCUGACGGUACCCAAAGAAUAAGCACCGGCUAACUUCGUG
This 492-nucleotide ribosomal RNA is filed under the name uncultured bacterium. Its description in RNAcentral is "partial 16S ribosomal RNA". It matches the Rfam family "Bacterial small subunit ribosomal RNA", at positions 29 to 507 of the family's 1533-position model. The record is from RNAcentral.